CCCCUCUCAGGAUCACAACUGGAGAGUUUCCAGUACUCUACCAGUCUCUGCUAUGGGAGGGAGAGUCAAGCAGAGACAAAUCCAUUCCAUUCCUAGCUAGGCAGCGGCUAGCAAGUGGAAGGCAAUCUGCUACCAGU
Molecule: small nucleolar RNA, 137 nt
Organism: Tachyglossus aculeatus (Australian echidna)
Lineage: Eukaryota; Metazoa; Chordata; Mammalia; Monotremata; Tachyglossidae
Source: RefSeq, a predicted model, not a curated record